UGAAGAGGGGCCUUGCCCAUGGCAAAGU
RNAcentral lists this non-coding RNA (28 nucleotides) under Rattus norvegicus (Norway rat). The record is from RNAcentral. Lineage: Eukaryota; Metazoa; Chordata; Mammalia; Rodentia; Muridae.